GUAGGAGUCCUAUGUAUGCAAGUCAAUUUUUAAUAAUUUGUUGGUGGACUUGGCGAAGUUAUUGUAUACGUGUGGGUCGUUGAAGCAGUGAGUGAAGCCUUUGAAAAAGACCAAAAAUUUAAUUUUGCUUCUAAAGGGGAUAACAUAAGGCUAGCUUUUGUGUCUAUCAUUUCGGGUUAACUUCUUAUCAUUAAUUAAAAAAAAUUAUCACAAAUCGAAUCUCAACAAAUCCUAAUGCAAUGUUGAGUCACUCAUGCAUAUGAUUUAAGAAUAUGCCUCUCUUUUAGGUAAAGAAAUCAUAAAGGGGUGAAAGAGAAUUCAGCUGUUUCCAUGAAUAUUUUAUUUGUCACCAAAAUGUCUUAUUGGAAGUGAAUGUUGAUAUUGUGCAAUUUUAAUCUUUUACAUGUGUGGACUUUGCUUAAAAAUUUAGAUUAAUAUUGGAUUUCCAAUAAAGAAAAAAAUUAAUGUUGCUUAAUUUAGACUUUCUUUGUUGAGAUGAGGUUUUGUGCGGAGCAUUUUUAUAAUAUUGUGACUAAUAGUUACCGGAUUAAAAAAUAAUAUGUUAUUAAAUCUUAACUAUAUAUUAUUACAAAUACAAGUGUAAAAAUAUUAUAAAAACUCAGUUUUCAGCUCAACUGAACACCAAAUCUAAAUAUUUUUUUGUAUGUACAUUUUUUUGGGAGAUUGCCAAUUUUUUCUCUACUAAAAUUAAUGGAUGGCACUUACCUCACACAAUUUUUAUAAUAUCCAUAAAAAAAUCCUGAGUAUCAAAAUUUAAAGGAAAAUAAGGGUAAAUAAUUCAUUUAAUUAAUAAUUUAUCUUGGAAAUAUAAAUAUAAAUAUAUAUUUAUUAUAAGAAAAUAUCUUAUAUUUCUUUUUUUAGUACUUAAAUUUUUUUAUUUUAAUUUAUAUGUAUAUGUUAAUUUAUAAUAAAUAUAAACUAAAUAUUUAAAAAUAAAAGUAACGCGAUAAAAUUAUACUAUCUCAAAAUUAUUGACUAUUAUUAAAAAAAAAAACAAAAUGAUAUAUACACUAAUUUCAGACUUCCAAUAAUGGAGAAAUCGACAAUUUCUUUUUGUUUUUUCUUUUUUGGGCGUCAAUAUGAAAUUGGCAUGGCCCAUGUCCAGCGCACGGCGUACCAGCCAACUAUAACAAACUACACAACAAACUAUCAAUAUCUUACCAUGCAUUAACAGUACUCUCUCACUUUUGUCUGGCACUUGAAGUGUGAGACGCCAAACAUACGCCGUGACAAUACUGUAUUUUGUGUAAUAAUAAAAAUUCUAAGGGGCGUGUGUCUAAAUAUAGAUUUUGUGCAAAUUCGAUAUAAAAUUGGUAUUAUAAUUAAUUAAAUAAAAAUAUUAUGAUAUUAUAUAGUGUAAUAAUAAAUCUACAUAAAAAUUUCGUUUUCAAAGUUAUUGUCAUACUUUUUAAAUAUACUUUUUAUAUUUUCAAGUUUGUAAUUGAAUGAUAAUCAAACUUUGAGUGUGAAAGUUUGCGACUGUUCAAAAGCAAGUUGUGCUUUGGAGGAAAAAAAAAGGAAAAUUAUCACUUAUAUAUUUUUAAAUUAUCAUAUAAAAAGACCAUAUUACCUUUUUAAUAUUAUUAUAUUUAAAUAACAACUAAUAAUUUGAUGGAUGGUAGAUAUAUUUUAUUAAUUUAAGAUAGAUGAUUGAUAUAUCCUUAAAGUAUUAUAAUAAAUUUAAUAAUAGAAUAAAUUAAGGGUAUAUAAUUAAUAAUUUUUUUAUAAAAAUAAAGGGCAACGUCGUAGGCAUAUUUUUCAUAAUUUGUGUGUCCCAAGUCCCAACCAUAACUGCGGAAACAGACAGAGAGUGGAAUAAUAAUGUGGUUCGCAGUGAGAAUCUUGCCCAUGUGGCACUAUAUGAUUGGAUACAAAUAUCAUCUACAUGUACCAAUCAGAGUGGUCCAAGAUAUCAUCUACAUGUACCAAUCAGAGUGGUCCAAGAUUUUAGAUGCAGUGAAGCAUGCCAGUUGCCGACCACAUAUAGAAAUAAUAAAAAUAUACGAGCCAGAGAGUUAAACUGAAAAUCUUGCCUGAACUCGAAUUUUUAAUAAUUAAAAAUAAGUUUAUGUGGUGAGUUUUUAUACAGCAAAAUAAGUAUUUAAACAGGUAUUAGGUUAUAGAAUUUGGCUUCAUCUUAAUAUUUUGGAUAUUUAACUAAUUUUGUACCUCUUCAAAAAGAAAGUUGAUUUGGAUGGUUCAUAAUAAUUAAUAAGACUGCCCACAGAAUUUGUCCUGUACUAAUUGCCAACUACUGGAUUAAGAAUUCUUAAUCAAUUUUUGGAUAAUGACAUUUUUGAAGUCACGAAGUGAUUCCCUUUGCCUUUCUAUUGAUUUCCUAAAAAUCAUUAUCACCAUCAGUCACUACGCGUGUUUUUUUUAUUCUUUUAAAUAUGGUUUAUUAAGAAUUUAUGUUCGAGUUAUUUCGAUAUGAUCCUUUUGAUUUAAAUAAAUUUAUCUUGGCUGGAUACCAUUCAAAGAAUGCAUGUUAUCCUUAAAUUAUUUAAUGUAGUCUCUUAUUAAUAUAUUGAGCUGUAAUUUAACGGUAAUUAGACUUUUUGGACUCUUGAAGCCGAUAGUUAUAAUAAAUUAUAGAAACGGGAAACCUUUCUUUUGGAGAUGUUUUGAUAUGUUUCGAAAGAAGUUGUGAUACAAAAUUUAUUUUUUAAAUAGUAUUUGUAUUUGAUGUGUUAUUUAUUUAUUGGUAUUGUGAAAUUACAUUGAUAAUUAAUGAUAAUAUAAAAUUAAAGGAAAUUUUUUUUACAUAACCAUUUUUAAAAACCUAUUAUCAAAAAUAGUCAUAGGAAAAAAUGUCUUAAAAUAGUAACCACCCACACUUGUUAUGGACUAAAUUGCCCCUCCCCAAAAACCAUUGUCAAAAUCGCCUAAAUCACGCAUCCCCCGACAUCGCCCAUCAUCGCUUGUCAUCUUGAAAUUUCUUUCUACUACUCCAUCAUCACAAUCUCACCAUCACAGCCCCUAUUAUCGUAGCCUCCAUUAGUAAAAGGUUCUAUAUUGUCAAUGACAUUAGGAUUUGACCUAAAGGUACAACUCAUUUACACUUUUACAAUAAGUUUUAAUUGAUUGGUGGAUUAUUAUUGAUAGAAAAGCACACUAGAAUAUAUAUUGGCAUGAACAAUUCAAAGAUUUUUAAAAAUUAAUGUUUGUAAAAUAUAAGCACAUUAGGUGUUCGUUAAAAUGUCUCUAAGAAUUUUUUUUUUCAAUUAUCUCAAUAAAUUUACUGAACUAGUUCCUAGUGAUCCACUCUUUAAUACCAAAGGUACUUACUAGUAUGAAAUUUACACUUAUUUCAUAAGCUUUUUUUUUUUUUUUUGGUUUAUGUUGGGUCUAGGCACACCCAUCGCCUACAUCGCCCGUGCACGCUGCGGGCGAUGACGCCCAUCGCUGCCCAGGUGCAGCAUUGCCUGCACUGACCUAAACGAAUUUUUUUGUUUAAAACAAUAAUUUAAUAUUUAUUGUAUUUAACUUUCAGAUAUGUCUUGCAAUAAAAUGCUGCCUUGGACUUUAAAGAUACCAACUAAAGAUCAUUUCCCAGGUGUUCUAACAAAUUUGAUGAAAAUGAAGAGAGUGAUUAGCCUUAUGUAAUCAAAGUUGACUGAAAAACAACAAAAGUUGUUCUGAAAAUCAAUAUUUGGGCAUUUUACUAGUAUGAAGGAAAUUGAGAUUUAGUGGCAUGCUCGUGCAUAAUUUGUUACUUAGAAAAGUGGUACAAGAAGUUAAUAAAUAUCAAAUCUGGUUUCAUGUUGGCAAUGAGUUGUUGCGUUUCUCGAUUCGAGAAUGGUGUCUUAUAACAGGACUUAAAUGUGGUGAAUUGCAAGAUUUUGAAGAGUUAAAAAAAAAAAGGUGGCAGUUGGCGAAUACGUGAUGUUUAUUUCAAUGGCAAUGAUGAGUUUCAGCUUCAAGAAUUAGAUACAAGGUUUGAAGCUUUUGAUUUUACCAAAUCAAUGACAAAGAUGCAUUAAGAAUUGCCUUGUUCUACUUUGCGGAUAGAGUUUUGUGUGCGAGACACAAUGAGAGGCUCAUCCAUAAAUUUAUACUGUAUGUCGUUGCAUAUUUGGAAUGCGUUAACAACUUUUCUUGGGAAACAUAUUCGUGGAAUAUUGUUUAUGAUUAAAUGAAUUCUUCAUUGAAUGGGGAAGGCUGAAAAAUUUAAGAAUGAAGCAAGUAACAAGCACAUACAUGAGACUUACAAAUUUUAUGGCUUUUGUUAUGGAGUGUAGGUGAGUAAAAUAUAAAUACAUGUAUCUGUGCAUGAAUAUAGUAUAGUGUUUAAUGUAUUUUUUUUUCAAUGUAGGCCUAUAUUUUUUAAGCAGUUGGAGGAAUCGUAUAUGGCACCCUAACAAUGUGUUGAUUGAUUUUGUCUUCAGUGCUAGUUAAUAAUUGUUGUUUAAUGCAUAUGAAAUCAGAGUAGUUUUGUGUUUAGCUAUUGGAGGGAGUUUGAAAAGUGAAAUGAGAGGAGUUUUGUAGAGUUUGUAUUUAGUUGUUGAGGUGAAAUAAGAGAGGAGCUUUGGGGAGGGGCAAUUUAAUCCAUAAAAUUGUGUGUGGUUAAUAUUUUAUGUUCUAUGGCUAAUUUUGAGAUAGAGUUUUUGAAAGUGGCUAUAUAAGAAAAUUUCCCUAACAAAUUCAAUGUCUAACACAUAACAAUCAUUGUUGUUGACACAUCAUUUGAGGUAUAAUUUUUGUAUCUUAAGUUUUCAAGCAUAUCAUCAUUCUUUUUGGAAGUAAAUCGAAAUUUAAUCUCUAAUGAAAUUUAUUCUUAUUAAGAUGGUGCAUUAUAUGGCCAUGGUAGAUUGGUGCUUUUAGUAAUGUUGAUGGCAUCAAUUUGACUCCGUGAGACUCUUUAUUCAUUUUCCACAAAACACUGGAUACAUGUAGAUAUAUUUCACUAAAAUAGGUAGAAUAUUAGUUAGGGGAAAUUAUCUCUAAAAUAUGUAGGAUAAUCUUUAGUCACACACACACAUAUAUAUAGACUACAAAAAAAUUUGACUUGUUAUAUGCACCAGCAAUAUUUUCAAACAUAUAUCAAUCAAUUGUUUUACCACUAACACUGUUAGAAUUUAUUAAAGAAUCUAAAAAAAAAAAACUACUUUACCUUAAAUUUAUUAAAUGAUCGUUUUUACCCCUUGAGACUUUGAAAAGAUACGCAUUUGUAAUUUUAAUUAAAAGCCGUUAUUUACAACAAAAACAAUAAAAUAAAAGUUUAUUUAGCUGAUUCUCCUAUCUGUCUAUAGUUAAGCUUGUUAUGUGAUUAUAAGUUUUUUUAUUUUUCAAAGUUUCAAAAAAUAAAAUAGUCUUCUACUAUAUUCAAGGAUGAAAUAGUGAUUUUGCUUAAAUUCCUUAAAAGGUUGUAACAGUUCUAGUGGUAAAGUAAUUGAUUGACACAAAUUUGAAAAUAUAGACGGUGCAUAGACUAUGUCAAAAUUUUUAGUAAUUAAAUGUACAUAUGACAAAAUAGAGGUGGUAGUACAAAAAUAAUUUUACUGAAAAUAGGUUUUUCAACUAAUCUCAAUAGAAUUUUAGAUUACAUGUAUAUGUAUGUUCGCAUUGUAAUAUAUUUGUAGAUGAUAACAAUUUAAAAUGAUGCAUGAUAUUUAUCUUUGAAAAUUGAAAAAAAAUAGUUGUUGUAUAUUUAUCUUACAUGUCUUUGCUUAUUUAAUUUCCAAUUAAGACCUAAAAAGGAUUUGCUAUGAGUUUCAGAGUUUAUCUGCAGUAUCGUAUGGUUGGACUAUUCAGGCCCAUUUCUGUUCUAUGUUAAGUUGAUGGACAUGUUGCUGGCUUGCUUCAAUGGCCAGUCCUUAAUAUGGCCUUUUAUGGAAAUUAUAAUUAACACAUUAAUAAUAAUAAAUUUAACUAUUAUUUAGCUCUGUACGCCAACUCUACAAGCAUUACAUUAUUAUGUAAAAAUUGCACCUAGCUAAUAACAAAAAUCAUAUGAUUACAAAACAAUAAGAGGAGUGAUCACUCUACACGUGAAAAUUUAUAGUAAUAUUAUGUCGAAUGUCAUACUAACUAUGGAUAUAAAUUUUAUAUUCGAAUUUCGUAAAUUGUAAAUUUAGUUAAUGGGAAAGUUUCUUAAUUUUCAAGUGAUUUACGCCACUAUGUUGUUUGUAUAUAAGGGGGAUUUCAAAAUACCCAAAUUCUCUUAUAAAAAAAUAAAAUAAAUAAUACCCACAUUCUCACAUGAUGAACUUAAAUGAUACACAAAUUCCCAUGUGCAUUGGUGAAGAUGUUGGUUUCCGUUUUGCUAUCCAGCUAGUGUGUAUUUUAUUUACGUUACUCUUUAGAAAAUUAUUAGUGUGUGCUAAUGCUAUAAUGCAAACUUUGACUUCGAUUUUUUUGUUUUUUUUGGUUAGGCGUAGACUAAUCUUCCAUUAAUAACAUUAAUUUAUCUCGUAGCUACCUAACUUCCCGAAUACCAGCACAAAGUAAACCUUUUCAUCCACAAUUUUGUGUCAUUAUUCAAUAUUUUAUCUCGAAAUUUCACUGUAGAUGAUGUGAUAUUAAUUGUAAAAUAAUAUAAUUAAUUUAUCUAAAACCUGUAACAGAUUAUUAAUUACUUGACGAAUAAUUUGUUUAAUGGAAUUAGGUGACUACGUAACGGAAAAAUGAAAGCUCAUGCAUUUAAUGAAAGAAUACCAAAUCCUAAUUUUGUGGCCAAGGCCCAACACGGCCCAAAAAGGAAAUAGGACAAAAAUAAAAAAUAAAAAAUAAAAAGUUGGAUUAAGAAUUUUGUGCUAUAAAAAUAAAAUUGGAAUAUUUAUCUCCUUUUACGUUAGAUCUAAAACCUUUUUAGUUUUAUUUUUCUUGAAUCUUCUCCGGUUCGUUUCGUGCAGUGAGCCGAUCUGAUCUCGGGUUUCAGCCAUGGACGAGGAGUUCGAAUUUGGUGAUAAGGCUCCUCCCUCUUUUGAUCGCGUGGUAUUUUUUAUUUUAUGUUUUUAUCAUUUUAAUUAUCUCGAAAUUAUCUGCUGAUUCACGAUGUCCACGUUCACUUAUUUGACUUGAUUUUGCAUUUGUAAUUUGUGGAUCUAUUCGUUUUUGUAAUUUUUCUUUAAAAUUUCUCGCGUUGAUCUCGUGUUCUAGAUCGGAUAAUUGGAAGCUGACAUUGACGUUAAAUUUAGUCAUAUUUGUAGAUCUUUAUGACCAUUGAGCAUUUAAUUUUAAUUAGGACUGUUUGAUAUCUUUGAAAUUCGAUGAAAUUGUGAUGGCAUUAAUUGAAAUUAAUCUUUGAAUGCUUUCGAUAUGCGAGUUUUUAAGAGUAAGUUAAUAUAUAUUAUUUUUCUGUCAAUGGAGUUGUUUUAUUUAUUUAUUUGUUGUUCUAUUAUGGUACUUUAAUCAUCGCAAAAUUUAGAAUCAUUAAUAAUGAGAAAUUCUGGUGGGAUGAAAUAGUUUUAUGAAGCUCAUGCUGAUGGUGAUUAUUUUAGCUUAAGCUUCAUAUUAAACUGUUGAUUUUUUUUGGGGGGGGGGGAGAACUGAGGAAGCCUGUCAAUAUUUAUAUAUGGCAUUGGAGAUUCGUCUCUGGUCUGUCAAUUAGGAAUGUAGGUUACAACUAAUAACAAAAAGAUUGUGAAUACUUGAAUUUUCAGCCAAGUCACUACACGUUAAAAUAGACUUAUUUUUUCUGAAUUUAUGAAUCAUUUGAAUUUUUAUAGUUUGAAAAUCCUUUUUAAGUUACAAUUCAACUGAUUAGUGUGUUUAUGGAGCAGUAGUUAGGCAAUUAUGAUUGUGGUCUCUAUUUCGUCGGGGGAACAGUGAGAAUGUGGGAGAGUCUGUGAGAUUUUUUGGCAUGCAUUAAUUAAUCAUUCACGAAUUAUACUCAUCUGUUGGACUUGGGAUGUUUUGUUUCUUGUCAUGUUAUUAUCCCAUAGAUAAAUUUGUUCAAGCUUUCAAUCGCACAGCAGGAUGAUACCCUGUUUUACAUGGCAAAUGAAGGUAGAAAAAAAAAAUUAAAAUAUGUUCUUAUCCACCUUGAACUUCAGCUCUUUAGAGUAUUUGGCAUGUGUUAAUAAAGUAAUGUGGAGCAUGGUUAACAGCAAUUCGGUUCGUGAAGGUGAGUUAACCACAAAAUAAAUUUUAGGGUGUGUUAAAAAAAAAAAAAAAAGGUCUGCCAUUAUGGUAAGAUUAGAGCCCCGAUGCUGUCGUAAUAUCAACAUGUUGAGUGUAGUUGGUACAAUUUUAUUCUUCUGUAAUUUGUUUUCUCACGUGUACUUACAGAACGUAACUUGCUUUAAUGAUAAACAGGGAAACACAGUUAAGGAUGCUGGAGCCAAAGGGUUCAAUCCAGGAUUGAUAGUGCUGCUGGUUGUAGGAGGGCUGCUGUUGGUAUUCCUCAUUGGCAAUUACAUACUGUACAUGUAUGCACAAAAGACCCUUCCCCCGAAAAAGAAGAAGCCAGUCUCCAAGAAGAAGAUGAAGAAGGAACGACUGAAGCAAGGUGUCUCUGCACCCGGAGAGUAGAAAUUUUAGAUCCGGUUUUGGUUCUUCUCCUUAAAUGUUGAACAUUCAAGUUCGAAUUUUUUCUCCAGAUUUGGUGUCAAGAGAGUUGUCCCAGUUAUUUUCUCUGUUUUCUCAAUACUGGCUAGAAACCUAACCUCAUGAUUAGAAUUGACCCUAUAUUUGGGUAGACUAGGAGGCAAAUGCUGUUUGUCAAUUAUAUGCAGUUUAAUUUUCCUCAUGUUCCCUUUUUUCUCUUAUAUUGCUGCUCUGCUUGAAAGAAAGUGUUAUGCUGUUAUGCUGUAGGGAUUAAAGUUUCGGUUCAUAACCUAUUAGGAUCUAUUGGCUUUCUAGUAACUUGCAUCUGAUUCUAGUAACAUUCAGUUUCAAUUACGGUUGAAUGUUGCUAAUGUCUGCAUAUGAAUUCGAAUGGGAAAGGGGAAACUUGCAUUUUACUUGCACUCUGCUCAGGCCUUAGGGUUAAUCAUGUUCCUUUUGGUGUGUGAUCUUUAUUUCGAAGUAGUGUGGUGCAACAUAAAAGCUAAUAUCGCAUCCAACAAUAAACCUCUUUUAUUAAAAAAAUAGAAACAGAAAAUAUAAUUGAGGUAGGGGGUAGCGAAGUUGGCAACAUUAAUUAACGUAGAUCUCAUGUAAAUUAGAACAUUUUGAUCCAGUGUGUCUGAAAAGAGCUUCGGAUAGUAUUUAAUAAGAUAUUUGCUAAAGAACAGGUAAUUGUGCAUUGCAUGCUAUUUCUUCGAUUAAUUUUUUUCCCAAUAUUUUAGUUUAAAACCACAGUGACCACAUCCAACGUCGUUGGAGCCUUUGGAAAUUCGAGUUAGAUUUUUUUUUCCUUUUUGGCUGAGGAAAUAGAAAUUAAUGACAGAUAAAAUAGGAAGAGAAGAAAUUGAUCAAUAUCGCGGCAAAGCUUAUGUUACAAACACUAUAUCAAACAGCCAAUGCAUAUAGGUCGCUGAUUUUGAUAUUUCUUAAAUUUAAUGGGAAAACUAUUUUAAUGUAAAACGAGGUACAGUCGUAAUAAAUUUAAACAAUUAAUAAAAAAAUUUAAUAUUAAAGAUUAAGAUAUAUUAAAAUGAGAGAUCAUUAAUAUAAUGAGUAAAAAUUCAAUAAAUAUAGAAUUAAAUAAGUUAUAAAUUCAAUUAAAUAAAAAUAAAAAAAUUAUUGAGCAACUUUGUACUAAAUUUGCGAUAAAUAUAAAUGGAAAACUUCAAGAAAAUUAGAGCAAUAACCGUGUUGCCUAGCUGCAGCCUGGUUUAAAAUAAAACUUUAAAACUUAUUGACUUUUUUUUAAUUACUAUAUUUUCUAAGGACUUAAAAAUUUAUAAUCGUAACAAGCUUUGCCCAAUAUAAAUAGGGAUUCGCUUGUAAUGCAGCUGCUGAAUCUUAUGCAGCCGCUUUUUAUUAUUAUUUUUAAUUAGUUUUAUAACAAGAGACCCGUUAUCCCUUAUUUUAAUUUGGUUAUGGUGAAAAACAUUAAAGCUAAAUAUCAUACAGCUACCCUUAUUUUAAAUAAAUGACAAAAUAAUCAAUUUAAAUUAUGGAACUACCAAAUACCCCCUCACUUUACAAGAAAAUAUAUUUAAAAAAUGAGGCAUAUUUUUUCUCAAAAUAAGUGACUAAGUAAAUAAACAUAAUAUAAAUUAUUAAAUAUCUUUUAUUAUAUUUAUAAAUUUAAUGAUAUUUUGCAUAAAAAAAUAUCGUAUUAUUUUAUUAAUGUUUUGAUAGGUCAAUGCAAUCUAAAUAUCUAGACCCAUAAUUUAUCAGAUUUAGGAAGAAAUCAAUUCCACAAUACGUAUAGAGUGAUUCAAAACUCUACUCACGCAUGAGAAUAGUUUUUGUCCAACUAUUGGAUAAUCAUCAAACAAUUAUCUUGUUAAUUAUAUCAAACAUUAUAAUUACUACCAAAUAUUAUUUUAUUAUUAUUAUUAAUUUAAUACUAAUGGCCAAUAUUAUUGUAUAAUAUGUAUAGACAUAUAUAAGAUAUCUCAAUCUCUUAUGUAAAUUAAUUCAUAAAAAUAUGUGAAAUUAAUAUAUUCUUUUAUACUGCAUAUUUUGAUGGUUACAUUUAUUCACUAUUUUCAAGUUACACUAUUUUCUAAAAUACUUAUAAUGGACUCUUCUAUAUGUUAAAUGUAAUGUUAAUUUUUUUAUCUACUGCUUUUAGUAGUAUCAUAAUUAAUGAUUUAUAAUAUUAAAUUUAUUUUUUAUGUUGUUAGUAACCAUUAUUACUUUGUUAGUCAAUAUUAAAUUGAUUAAAAUAAACUCAACUAUGAUACUUAUUAUAUCAAUAUUAGAUGUUUAUUAUUAGAAUGUGUAUAUGGUCUAGAAUCUAUAUAUAUGAUGUUAUUUUAAUUUUAAUAAUGUCACUAUUUAUAUUAUUCAUUUAUUAAUAUUCUUUUAAAGGUAGGGCAUAUGAGAGUCUAAAUAUAAUUAUUAACUCUUACCUUCCACAUGAUUUAACUUGGGACAUAUACCAUAUUUUCAUAAAUAAUUACAUUUAUAUCUUUUUGGAUAAUUAUGCCCUAUGAUCAUGGUGACAUAAAUUCACAAUGUAAUUAUCAAUGUAACAAAGAUAAAUAUUAUUUUUUUAUUAGUUAGCGUAGCGACAACUAAAUUUUCUCCUUAUCCAUGUGAGUGAGUUUGAACCCUUAACCAAGUGGCACCCACAAUAAUAAUUAAAAUUUGAAUACAACUAAUAAUGUCGUAUUUAUUAUAUUUAUUGUUAUAUAUUUUAAGCAUGACACUAUUACUAUUUUUUAGAUAAUAAAAUCAAGGGUCACUAAAAUAGAGCAAUUAAAAAUAAGUGGCAUUUAGCACAAGUAUUCACGGAUUAGAUUUUGUGAAUUGGACAUCAAUCGAUAUCCGAUCCAUGAUUUUGCGAAUUAUAAACUUUCAAUCCAAUCUAAUCCAUGAAUUGAUGAAAUUCAUUGUAAAUCCAGCUCAUACCUUUGGGGAUAACCCAAUUCAUAUCCAAUCCACCAUUUUAUUGAUUGGUUUACAGAUAAAAUUUUUUUAAUUGUGUCCAAUCCAUGAACUAAUUAAAUAAAAAAGCCUAAUAUAGAAAUAAUGUUACUACUGAUUAGAUUCAUAAUUGAAUAAGAUUUAAAUAAAUUAAUUGUCUAAAUAAAGCGAGAAGAAUACAUUCAAAAUUUUAAUAUAACACACUGAGAAGGAAAAUACCACAUUUGUUUAUAUCAAUCCAUGAACAUUAGCUAAAAUUAUCUAUCUAAAUCUAUACAAAAGUUGAAACUUGAGAGUUUGGAUGAUUUGUCAAAAUAUCCUCCUAUAAUUUGUCAAAAAUGCUUUAGAAUUUGUACUAUUUAAGAAGUUAUAUUUGUUUAUUUAAUUUUUUUUAUUUUGUAAUAUUAUUGGAUAAUAUAUAAUAUGGUAUUAAUUUAUCUUAACUUAUUUAUCCAUUAGUAAUUAGUAAUGACACAAUUAUAAAUUUUAUUUUUUAAUUAAAUAAAUAUAUUUUUUACAGAUUCAUGGAUUUUUGCAUAUUUGCAUAAGCAAAUUUAUAUCUAAUCCAUUAAUUGUGGAUUUUUAAAUUUUCAAUCUAAUCUAAUCCAUCAAUCUACAGAUUGAAUUUUUAUGGAUCGGGUUUUUGCGAAUCAAAUAUAUUGAGCAGAUUGGAUUGGAUUUUGAACUCUCCUAGUAUUUAGAAUAUAAAUUAUAAAAAUAAGUAUAAUCAUAUUAAAUUAAUUUACUAAAUCAAGUAAAUUAAAAUGAAAUGAAUAAUUUUUCAUUUAGGCGGGCAAAACUGCCACUAAAUGAAAUACUAACAAAAUUUAUUUUUAAUGUAUAAAAUUGAAAAUUUUUAAAUUUUUAUUAAAAGUAUAAAUACUUCAUAUUUUGCUUCAUGAGAAAUCCUAGCCGCUUUAACUAAAAUUCUUCAAUUGAUCUUUGUUAAAAUAGUAAGGGGUGCAAACAUAAUUCAUCUUAUUGAUAUUAUUGUUAUUAAAAAAAAUAUUAUUAUUAGUUAAAAAAGGACCUGGAACAUGCACCGAUGUUGUCAAAAUAUAAUGAAAAUAAUAGGAAUAUAAAACCAUGAUAAGGUGUAAAAGAGUAGGAAAACUUAACCUAAAAAUGGGAUCAAUUUAAUAAAAAGCUGAAAUAUUAUUAAAAAAAAAGGAAUUUAUAAGGUGAACUUAGAACAUCACCCAAAAUAUUGGAAUACACAUAAAAGAGUAGGAAUAUGUAACAAAAAGAUCGUGAAAAUAAAGUGGAAAUCGAUUAAUGAAAAGUGGGGGUACCAAAAAAUAAACUUGAAACGUCCACUCAAAAUAUUAGAAUUCAAUGUAAAAGAGUGGGAAUAUAGAACUAAUCAAUGGUGAUAAAAAGAGUGGAAGAGCUCAACCCAAAAGUUUGAACAAGUUAGUAAGAAUUUGAUAAAUUCUAAUGAGAAGUAGAGAUAUAAAAAAUGAACUUGAAACAUCUAAAUAAAAUAUUGCAAUUCAAUAAAAAGAGUAGGAAUAUAGAACCAAAAUGUGGCAGAAAAAAAGUUGAAGAGAUUAAUUCAAAAGUUGGAAUAACUUAUAAAGCAAUUGAUAAAUUCCAAUUAGAAUUAGGGAUCUUAAAAAUAAACUUAAAAUAACAGCCCAACAUGUUAGAAUUUAGUAAAAAGAGUAGAAAUAUAUAACCAAACAGUGAUGGGAACCAAAGUUGAAGAGUUUAACCCAAAAGUUGUAACUACUUACCAAUAAUCUGAUAAAUGAUAACAAUAAGUAGGAAUUUAGAAAAAUGAACUUGACACAUGCUCUUUGCUGGAAUUCAAUUAAAAGAGUAGGAAUAUAGAACCAAAAAGUGGUGGAAACAAGAGUUGAAGACUUAACCUAAAAGUUGGAAUAGAGUCAUCAAGAAUAUGAUAAAUCCAACGGUGAGUAGAGGUUUAAAAGAUAAACUUAAAGCAUCCACACAAAAUCUAAGAAGUCAAUCAGAGUAUAAAUAUAGAUCUAAAAAGUGGUGGAAACAAGAGUUCAAGAAUUUGACUUAAAAGUUAGAAGAACUUACCAAGAAUCCGAUAAAUUCCAACAGUAAAAAUAAACUUGAAAUAUCCACGCCAAAUGCUGGAAUUCAUUGAAAAGAGUAAGAAUAUAGAACAGAGUUAAAGAUCUUAACUUAAAAGUUGAAAUAACUUACCAAGAAUAUAAUAAAAUGCGAAGGGAAAUAGAGAUAUAAAAGUUGAACUUGAUAUAUCAACCAAAAUGUUGGAAUUCAAUAAAAAGAGCAUGAAUAUAGAAUUAAAAAUUGGUGGGAAUAAGAGUUAAAAAGUUUAACCCAAAAGUUGAAAUAACUUACCAAAAAAUUGCUAAAUAUUUACGAGAAGUAAGGAUUUAAAAACUGAACUUGAUAUAUGUACUCAAAAUAUUGAAAUUCAAUAACAAGAGCAGGAAUAUGGAACCAAAAAGUAGUGGAAGAUAAGUUGGAGUAACUUAUCAAAAACUAGAUAAUAUCUAAGAGAAUAUAGGGAUAUAAAAAGUAAACUUGAAAUAUCCACCUAAAAAGUUGGAAUUUGAUGAAAAAAAUAAAAAUAUGAAACAAAAAAGUAGUAGGAAAAUGAGUUAAAAUAACUUACCAAAAUUUAGAUAAAUCACAAAUGAAAAUAGGAAUUUGAAAAAUAAACUUGAAACAUAUGCUACAGAUAUUGAAAUAUGAAAAAUUAAGUAGGAAUAUAACUAUUUUGUGACUUAUCUAUAGUAUUUUUAUAAUUUUUAUGCUAUUUAUAAGUUUAAAAUUAUUACAAUCUUUUGCCUCAUAUAAUUACAAUUUUAUCUUUUUUUGUCUAUUUUUCAUAAUUUUUUCACAUUAAAAAUAAGUAAAAAUAUAAUGUUUAUACCGGUUAAAAAUCGCUUGUACCGGUUGGUGCACGGAGCUGUAUGAGAUAGGGCAUUGCAUGGUAGGUUGACUCUAUUUUAUAGAGCAUACCUUUUAGUUAUAUAAAAAGAUGUGAAGUGUAAUCAUGUGGAGUUGGCAGAAAUAAUCGAUAUAUGCAAAUCGGUAUGGUCAACACAAAACAUUCAAAUGGCCAAAUAUUACAAACAGAACAGAUCUCAGCCUCAGCCUCACAACCUUCAAUCUUAAUCCAUUGUAACAGUUGAUUUCUUUCAAAAUUUCAGCAUUAACUAUAUGAAUAAAUAAAGCGAAUAUGAAUAAUAAUGUAAAGUGGAAAAAAAGAAAUUAAUCUAAGUUAUUUUAUGCAAUGAUAUUGUGAAAUCUCACUUGAAUUUUAUUUUGAAAAUUUAUAAUUUUAUAUCAGGCACAUGAUGAUUAACGCAAAAGAAUUCUAAUAACAGAAUUCAUGCAUGAGGGGAGAGUUUGAUUUUAUUAGUGAUAGGCAUGUGAAGUUAUAUAUAUAUAUAUAAACCAUCCCAAAUGAUGUAAUAUGUGAUGUAUCAUUUGUACUUAAUUGAUUUUUACAAGUACCAACGAAUUAAUUAUAUUAUCAUGCCAUUUAUUUGAUGUGUGUCACAUUAUUUAAAAGAGUACUACUAAAUGUCUAGAACGGCAAGAGAUAGACGAGUGAAUCUCUCACAUUUUUAUGAUUUAAAAAAUUAAAAAAUUAAUAAAAUAAUAAAGAAUUAAGAUGAAAUCGAAACAAAAUCUCUUAUCAGUUUAUCCUCACUCCAUCUUCGCAAAGUACCUUCCCACUCUCAAAUGACUCUCUUGAACAGGACCGUUGCCAAUGACGACAUGACUAUCGACGAUGACAUGACCCCUGCCACCAUGCCGACAACAACAUAAUCAUUGCCAAAGGUAUUUGUUUGCGGCUGAUUUUGGGUCAAUGAAAGAAAACCACAAAACCAAACCAAGAACAAUAAAUUUAUUUUUGUCGGGGAGUGGGGUGCCUCGCUUGUUCGACACGUGCGAGCUGUUUAGGCUUUCUGUGGAGUGUAGGAGGAUUGAGAUGGCGAUGGAUAUGGAAGGGGUCUGACUUCAGGUGCGGAGGGCUGGCAAAAAUCAUCUUAAACCUGCGAAACAACCAAAAAGCGGUCAGAGGUGGAGCCGGGGGUGGUCGACGACCAAACUCUGAUACUCAAGUCACAGUUGGGUUAUCUCAGGUUAAAGAGCUUGCAAGCUCUCGAUAAUAGAGGUCUUAAGGUUGAAGAAACCUUAGUUUUUCCUGGUGUGUGUGUUAACUUAAUAAAAAUUAAACUUGAGUAUUUAUAUGGUAUACUCCGGUCGCCGCACCACCUAGCAUUAUACUAUUGGCGUUCCCUGCUGUCAUGUCAUGAAUAUUCUUAUGUUCAUGUGUAUGGCAGCUUAGGCGUUUCAAAAAUAUUCAUGGAGAGCAAGUUUGAGGCAUAUUCACGUGCUAGGCGUAAUGGAGUGGUCCCGCGUACCUCUGCAAUUCCAUUGUAAUUUUGCAGGUGUGGCAGGAAAAGCUGGCGGUCCCAACUGUCAUAAUAUCAAACUUUUGGCUGAUUCACUAGCGUGACAGGCGGUUAUCUCCUCUUUUGUAGCACAAGAUUUCCUCACCGAUUCCUUAUUUUUUGACACGUAUUCAGCAGAUCUAUUUUAGAUUCGGGGCCCACUUAUCCCUUAACAUUUUUCUAAAGACUUUUUGUACCCUUACAUGGUGUACUCGAGGUACCCCCGGAAUACCUAGUGUACCUUGGGUACCCAAGGUUCCCGAAGUAAGCUAAUUUCUUAAAUAUCGAUACGUGGUGCUUCAUCAUUGGCCUCAUGUUUCCUUCCCAAACAACAUCCCCAUAGUUUCUUUGUGGCGAAUAUAACUGAGGCACAAGAAACUGUUGGAGGAAUUGCACAUGACACGUGGCGAUAUUUGACCUUUAUUUAUUUAUUUUUUAUUUUUACAAACACUAAACUGAUGCUUGUCUUUAUGUCUCUCCAGCUUCUCUUGGGAAGUGUUAAUCGCUUGACACAUAAUUUGAAUUUGAAAACACCCUUUCUGCAAAAUAAAUUUGACCUCUCUUUUUAUGAGGUACGAUUUGUCAGGUUUAAUUAAAACAUGUUCCUCUCCUUUUAUGUUACCACUUUAUUUUGAAAAUCCCAAAAAAUCUCUCAUUAAGUUUAAUUGCUUCCAGUGGCUUCUUCUUGCUCCCUGGCUUUCAUCUUUUCCUUAGCUUUAUUUCUCAUUCCUUUUUGGCUUAUCGUCUUUUUCUUUAGUUCGUCUUCUCCUGGGCUCCAUUAAUAUUCCAUAAACAGGUAAAAAAUCUUGUUUUAUUUCUCUUUUUCCUUUUUUUUUAAAAUGCCUUUUCAUGUCUCAUUUUCCAUAGUUUCUUUCAUUUUUUUCUCUUUCUUUCUCUUUUCUUCUUUCUUCUUCUGGUCAACUCUCGUUUUCCUCUCUUUUUUCUUUUUUCUUUUUCUUUCCUUUCUUUUUCUUUUCUCUUUCUCCUUUUCCUUCCCUCUCGAUUGCACUUCUCUUUGCGCGUUUCCGGCGGACUCUCGGCGGUUGUUGCAGUGGUCUUCGGCGCCCGAUCUGUCCGGCACGCGGCUAUGUCUCGUGACUUCUGGCGGGUUUGGCGCGGUACUUCUCUCCCCCACAUUGGCUUCCUCGCUUUUUUUCUUCUUUUUUUUUUGGCCGACUAUUCUUCUCCUGGCACAUUUUCGGAGGGACUUUCGGCAAUCGUUGUUGCGGUUUUCAAUGCUGAAUCCAGUCGACAGUGGGUUGCAGCUUCCGACGGGAUCCGUUCUUCCUCUACUGCGUUUUUUUCCUGUCUCCCUCUUUUUUUUUUAUCAUCUUGACUCCUUCAUUUUUUUUAAUCAUCCAGGCUCCCUUUUUUUUUUUUAAUCAUCCAUACUCUUUUUUUUUAUCACCUUGACGGCUUCUUAUUUAAAAAAAAAAAAAUCUCUAACGAGUUUCAUUGUGCCCAUGACAGCUUCUGCACAGCUUCAUCUUUUAAGCAAUUUCUUGCGAUCCACGACUUUUCUUGGCGGUUUACAAUCUCUUUAUCUUCAAAUUUACGUUCUUUGGCGACUUCAAUUUACUACUCUUGAUAUGAAUUUUUAUAUCUAUUUCAGUUUCUUUAUUCUGAAAAAUACUGUUGUGGCUUUGUUUCUUGAUUUCAUGCAAAGUGUUGGUACUUUUUCUUUUUGUUUAUGCUUUUAUUGGUGGAUCUUGGUGUUUCACUUGUGAUAAAUGAGGUCUAAAGUUGUGAGGGCAUGUUUUGAUGUGGAGAUUUCUUUUCAACUUGUGUAUUGUGUUUUUAGGGGAAUAAGAUGGGGAGAAAAAGAGUUGGGAUAAGGGGUCGAAAUAUUGUUGACGAUUUGGGUGGUGAGGAGGCCCUAUGUUCUGAGUCAGCCCCUUUUGUAUCCAUUAGUGAUGACAAUAGGUCUCCUUCGGGUAGCCCUAAAUUGUCUUGAAAUGAUCCUCGUAGUAAAUCUAAAACUAGGGGGAAGCAACCGGUUAGGGCAGCCUGUAAGAAAAUCCAUGCAAAAAAUUCCAGACCCAAAUCUCAUACCCCUGUCAGCAUCCCUGAACCUCCCGUGGUCUCCCCCUCUGUCUCUGUAGCUCAUAAGCUCUAUUCACUAGGGGGUAGGCCAGCUACUUCAAGAGAUUUAGAAAGGGUUAGAGUUAAAUAUAAUAUACCUCCUUCUGUCCGCCUUAGGGUAUCUCGCAAGGGUAAGCAGCCCGAGCACCCCCAUUCUGAGAGUGUAGCCCUUCAUAUUGACCUUUUUCAACUUAGGUCUCUGUUUGCCUCUUCAGCCAUUUUUUAGAAAAAUAUUCAAUGAGAUGCAGAUUACGCCCGGACAUUUAUCUUUACCCAGUUGGAGAUUGCUCUCGGGUUUGGAGGUUCUGUGGCUGGAUAUAUUUGGGGAGGAUAUUUCUUUCAGAUAUCUGAGGGGGCUUUAUCAGUUAAAGAAACCUUCUAGUUUAUCUGUAGCUUAUUUUACUACUUGAUGGUUCUUGGUAGUUUGGUGAGACCGGAUCCCUUGCUGAAAAGGGGCUAUAAAUAUGGGUGGUUUGUGGCUAAAGGUGAGUGGGGGAGGAGUAUACCAGCAGGGAAUGAAGUUGUGCAAGUUCGGAACUUCUUCAAUAAAGAUAAUAUGUAUUUAUUUCCUCAUCUCUGCCUUUUUUAUGUAUAUAUACAUGUCUCGCAUGAAUUUUCUUCUUAUUCGUUGUUUCUUGGGGCUUUUUCAGACAUCACUUGGUCUAAAGGGACAUGCCCAGUUCAUGAAGUGGGGAGAAAAGUGAGUGGUGUCAUAGAGAAAUUACGGUCUUUCUAGAGUGAGGGUGAUGUUCUGAGCACUACCCGGCUGGCGAGAGCUGGUUUGACUGAGGAGAGUCUUCCAUCUUCUUUGGGGGACGAUUCACGUAUGGCUAUAUGGUGUUGCUGGGGUACCUUGCCUUCACUGGUUCUGUGGGUUGCCCCAUCUUUACACAAACUUUUUUUUUUUUAUUUUGGCAACCAUAUCUUAUUUUUCUUAAUGUGUCUUUUCGCCUAUGACGAUUCUGAUGUUCAUUUUUCUGAUCCAUCUCUCAAUCUCACUUUUUUUUUUUGCUUGAUGUUGGAUAGGUAUGGACCAUUUCGCCGAAGAUUUCGACGCCUUCUUCAGUCACAUGAGCGGCAGCUCAUCCAAUACCUUGGGUACCUCAACAAAUGGUUUUUGACCUCCCAUCGUUCCAGACGCCAAAGACAAAUUGCAUGUUUCCUCUUUUGGGAGUUCUCAGGGUACUUCGGCUACCCACAACAGGAAGCUUGGCUCUCUAUUCACGGUUCUUGGAGAUCUUAUGGAGGGUGAGCUUGACCCGGUGGCAAACAAGCGAAUAUCUCAUCUGGCCGAUUGCUUCCUCCAUUCCUCCGAGUGCAUUUCUACAGACAUGACCAUGGAGGCGGAUAGAUUGGACUUAAAUGAGCGCUCAAGGCUUGUCAUGACGUGAGUGCCUUUCUCUUUAUAUAUAUAUAUAUAUAUAUACCAUCCUGACUCAUUUUUCUUCUCUUUAUUAUUAUUAUUAUUAUUAUUAUUAUUAUUAUUAUAUAUAUAUAUAUAUAUUCUGUGUAGGCGGCCGUCUACCUUAGUCACAGUCUCCAAGAUUUUAGUGGCACCUCGGCUGCACAUACCGAGGUAGAGAAGUUGCGAGGUGAGAUCAGACUCGGCCAGUCUCAAGAAGAGAAGCUUGGAGAGGUGGUCAUGGCUUUGCAAAGGCACUUGGACGACCACACCCAGGAGAACAGUCGAAUGUCUAAGAAGUUAGAAGAGGUGGAGUCUAAGCACGACAAGCUAUUAUCUCGCCAACAGGAGAUGAUGGACAAAGCUUUUACUCUCAUCAUGACUGAGGUCUGGAGCGUCGACCCAGAGCCGGUGGUACCCCGGGUGGAGAAAUGGGUGGAUAAAUCGGUCAUCCUGAAAGCGAUCGAGGACAAGAGGGUAACUCAGGCUCCACUAUCUCACAGCCCACAGCAGUCUUCUGGGGUACCCUAGGUACCCCAAGCGAAUCUCUCUUCUGUUGCUGUUGUUUAUGAGGGUAGCAACUCUUUAACGGCGGGUGUUCCUGCUGAUGCCCUUCGUUGAGGGGAGCGGUGAAGAGGAUGUUCCCCCUUCUGCGUGAUCCUACUUGUUAUUCAGAGUUUUAUCCCGAGAUGUUUCAGCAGUUUUCUUUCUUUGCUUCUGUACCUUUUGUAGUAUGGUAUCCCCCCUUGAUAUGUUGGGAUAGUUGUCUUUUGGAAGAUUGCCUUAGCAAUCUCGCUACUUGUUCACAUUAAACUUCCGCAAUAAACUUGAUUUGGCAUGCCAUUGAAUUCCUUGCUUAUGAUUAAUUUGUGUAGACUUGUGGGGGUUCCUCGGGUAUCCCAGGUACCCCCUGAUCUGUUUUUGGUGAUUUGUCGAGAUUUUCGUAGAUAUGCUCGCUGCUCGUCUUAAUAAAGAUUAUGGCGUAUCUCAAAUAAUUUAAUAAUUCUUGCAUCAUCAUAAUAUAAAAUGAAAUUCAUAAUUGGCGCAACGAGGAUGUAAAUAAAGAUUAUGACGUAUCUCAAAUAGACUUGUGGAGUUUCCAUGGGUAACCCAGGUACCCUAUUUUUUUUUUUUUUUGUUCGGGGACCUUCUUGGCCCCCUUUCUUACAGAAAUGGUCAAAAACAUGCUUGUUUUGCCAUCUGCUUCUGGUCAAUAUUUAAUGAAAUAAUGCGAAUAGAAGUGCAUGCUUGCCUACCUCAUUUCUUUUAGGCAUCUAACUCUUGUGAUUGCCAUUUGUCUAUUCUUUAAUUGGCUCAAGUUAAAGAAUGGAGGUGUGGGCGUGUGUAUACCUUAACGAAGUCUCAUGGCACUAGGGUAUGCUGGUUUACCUCGCCCUCGGUCUUCUCUGACCCUCCCUCUUUAAAUUUGUUGUAUUCUUUCUUAUUGACUUUUACUUUGAACAGAUCUGAACAAAUCUUCAUGAUCAAAUCAGGUCAGUUACCCCAGGUACCUCAAAUUAUCUUGAAAUGGAGUAAUUAUAGUUGAAAGGUGUAUACAAGACAUGACGUACUAAGAUAGAAUCACAUUAAUGGUGAAAGUUUAACCAUAAUCACAUUCGGUAAUCAAAAGGAGAACAUUACAUAAGCCUAACUCAUUGUCCCAAUGAGAAUAGGAAACUGUAUAGAUAUCCACUCUCUGGGACUUAGGGAAUUAAAAAUUUCACUUGCACAUGUAGGGUACCCUAAGUACUUUUUAUGGCUUUACCACAUAACACACAUAGUAAAGAAAAUAUGAGAUAGAUAAAGUGAACGAUAAGGUUUAAGACACUGUCCUCAUAUUAGUAGUACUUUCUUAGCAUUGCGGCGUUCCAAGGAUGCUUGACGAUUAUUCCAUCCAUGUGAAGUAGCCUGUACACCCACAAUCCUACCAGCUUGUCUAUGCGAUAUGGGUCUUCCCAAUUUGCUUCGAAAAAGACCUCCGAGGGUAUCCGAGUGUUCUGAGUUACCCUUCGUAGUACUAAAUUCUCUUUCUUGAAUGAUCUGGGGGGUACCCUUUGUUAUAUAAAUCUGAAACGCGGUGUUGGUAUAUUGCAACCUUCAAUUCUGCUUUAGCCUUUUUUUCUUCAACAAGAUCAAGAAUGGAUGCAAUUACAGAGGCAUUCUCGGCUUCAUCGAAGUAUGCGGUUCUGUGAAAGGGUAUCCCGAUUUCUGCUGGAAUGACCACACCAGUCCCUAAUGCUAGAGAAAAUAGGGUUUCCCUGGUUGAAGUAUUCUAAGUUGUCCGAGAGGCCCAAAGAACGCCGGGUAGCUCGUCUACCCAAGCUCCAUUCCUUUCCUCCAGCUUCUUUUUUAGGAUAUCAUUGAUGAUUUUUUUGAUGGCUUCCACCUAUCCAUUAUAUUGCGGGUGAGCCAGAGAAGCAAAUCGGUUGGCUAUCCGAAGCUCCGAGCAGAAACUCUGAAAUUUUUUAUUAUCGAAUUGCUUCCUGUUGUCGCUGACAAUUGCAUUAGGGAUACCAUAUCUGCAUAUAAGGUUCCUCCAAACGAAAUCAGUGGUUUUUCUCUCGAUAAUACUUGCCAACGGCUUCGUUUCUACCCACUUUGUGAAAUAGUCAACGACUACAAUUGCAUAUUUAUCUUGCCCUCUCCGGGUUGGCAGUGGGCCAAUGAGAUCUAUACUCCAAACAACAAAUUGCUACGGAGAAGACAUGACAGUUAACUUUUCUGGUGGAAAGUGGGGUACCUUGGCAAAUCUCAGGCACUUAUCAUAACUCUUGACCAUGUUUUUAGCAUCCUCCCGCAUCGUAGGCUAAUAAAAUCCUUGACGAAGGGCCUUUUGUGCCAAUGAUUGUGGUCUAUAGUGGUUACCAUAAAUUCUUUUGUGUAUCUCUCUCAUGAUAUAUUCGGCUUGUUCAUCUCCCAAGCACUUUAAGUAAGGGAGGGUAAACCCUCUUCUGUAUAAGGUAUCCUCGAUGAGACAAUACUGUGCAGCUUUAUAUUUUAGCCUCCUGCCUUACUCUUGUCUGAGGGCAGAUCCCCACUCCUGAGGUACCUUAUGAUUGGUUGCAUCCAUGGUACCCCAGCAGUUAUCGACCCUAAUUCUUCUGGCUCAGGUAUAUUAACACUAGAUGAGGGUAUAUACUCCGUAGUGAUUGGACCAACUGACUGAGUUGCAUCAAAGGACGCCAUUUUGGCGAGGUUGUCAGCUUCACAAUUUUCUAAUCGUAGAACUCUUCCCACCUUGACCUCAACAAAUUGGGAUAUUAAUUCUCUGGUUCCCCCAAUGUACCCCUUCAUAUUUUCUUCUUUAACAUGAUAUUAUGAGUUGAUCUGACCGACCACCAAUUGAGAGUCACUCUUGAUAUGAACCAUUUUUACACCAAACGCCUUCGACAUCCUUAGCCCCGCUAUUAUAGCUUCGUACUCGGCCUCGUUGUUUGAGGCCUUGAACGCGAAUUGCAAAGCAUAACAUAGCUUUACUUUACCUGGAUCGAUGAUUAUUACUCCCCUGCUGUACCGUACAUCCGCCUUGGCCGUACAGCAGAAUUUUUAUAGUUUGAAAAUCCUUUUUAAGUUACAAUUCAACUGAUUAGUGUGUUUAUGGAGCAGUAGUUAGGCAAUUAUGAUUGUGGUCUCUAUUUCGUCGGGGGAACAGUGAGAAUGUGGGAGAGUCUGUGAGAUUUUUUGGCAUGCAUUAAUUAAUCAUUCACGAAUUAUACUCAUCUGUUGGACUUGGGAUGUUUUGUUUCUUGUCAUGUUAUUAUCCCAUAGAUAAAUUUGUUCAAGCUUUCAAUCGCACAGCAGGAUGAUACCCUGUUUUACAUGGCAAAUGAAGGUAGAAAAAAAAAAUUAAAAUAUGUUCUUAUCCACCUUGAACUUCAGCUCUUUAGAGUAUUUGGCAUGUGUUAAUAAAGUAAUGUGGAGCAUGGUUAACAGCAAUUCGGUUCGUGAAGGUGAGUUAACCACAAAAUAAAUUUUAGGGUGUGUUAAAAAAAAAAAAAAAAGGUCUGCCAUUAUGGUAAGAUUAGAGCCCCGAUGCUGUCGUAAUAUCAACAUGUUGAGUGUAGUUGGUACAAUUUUAUUCUUCUGUAAUUUGUUUUCUCACGUGUACUUACAGAACGUAACUUGCUUUAAUGAUAAACAGGGAAACACAGUUAAGGAUGCUGGAGCCAAAGGGUUCAAUCCAGGAUUGAUAGUGCUGCUGGUUGUAGGAGGGCUGCUGUUGGUAUUCCUCAUUGGCAAUUACAUACUGUACAUGUAUGCACAAAAGACCCUUCCCCCGAAAAAGAAGAAGCCAGUCUCCAAGAAGAAGAUGAAGAAGGAACGACUGAAGCAAGGUGUCUCUGCACCCGGAGAGUAGAAAUUUUAGAUCCGGUUUUGGUUCUUCUCCUUAAAUGUUGAACAUUCAAGUUCGAAUUUUUUCUCCAGAUUUGGUGUCAAGAGAGUUGUCCCAGUUAUUUUCUCUGUUUUCUCAAUACUGGCUAGAAACCUAACCUCAUGAUUAGAAUUGACCCUAUAUUUGGGUAGACUAGGAGGA
RNAcentral lists this long non-coding RNA (23878 nucleotides) under Citrus sinensis (sweet orange). Its description in RNAcentral is "long non-coding RNA (CSIN_LNC002519)". The record is from RNAcentral. Lineage: Eukaryota; Viridiplantae; Streptophyta; Magnoliopsida; Sapindales; Rutaceae.